RNAcentral lists this transfer RNA (92 nucleotides) under Wolbachia endosymbiont of Meromenopon meropis. Its description in RNAcentral is "tRNA-Leu". It matches the Rfam family "tRNA". From Rfam's summary of the family: Transfer RNA (tRNA) molecules are approximately 80 nucleotides in length. Their secondary structure includes four short double-helical elements and three loops (D, anti-codon, and T loops). Further hydrogen bonds mediate the characteristic L-shaped molecular structure. tRNAs have two regions of fundamental functional importance: the anti-codon, which is responsible for specific mRNA codon recognition, and the 3' end, to which the tRNAs corresponding amino acid is attached (by aminoacyl-tRNA synthetases). tRNAs cope with the degeneracy of the genetic code in two manners: having more than one tRNA (with a specific anti-codon) for a particular amino acid; and 'wobble' base-pairing, i.e. permitting non-standard base-pairing at the 3rd anti-codon position. The record is from RNAcentral. Lineage: Bacteria; Pseudomonadati; Pseudomonadota; Alphaproteobacteria; Rickettsiales; Anaplasmataceae.
GCGGUCGUGGUGAAACUGGUAGACACGCAGCGUUGAGGUCGCUGUGGCUUGUAAAAAAAGCUUUGGAAGUUCAAGUCUUCUCGACCGCACCA